GAUGAACGCUGACAGAAUGCUUAACACAUGCAAGUCGAUGGGGAAGUGGUGCUUGCACCAUGGUAACCAUGGCGGACGGGUGAGUAACGCGUAAGGAACUUACCUGCGGGACCGGGAUAACAGCAGGAAACUGCUGACAAGACCGGAUAAGGUCAUUAAGCUGCAUAGCUUAGUGAUGAAAGGAGACGCCUGCGGAGAGCCUUGCGUCCUAUUAGCUAGUUGGAGGGGUAACGGCCCACCAAGGCGAAGAUAGGUAGCCGGCCUGAGAGGGUGGACGGCCACAAGGGGACUGAGAUACGGCCCUUACUCCUACGGGAGGCAGCAGGGGGGAAUAUUGGACAAUGGGGGCAACCCUGAUCCAGCAAUUCUGUGUGCACGAAGACGGUUUUCGGAGUGUAAAGUGCUUUCAGCAGGGAAGAAGGAAGUGACGGUACCUGCAGAAGAAGCGACGGCUAAAUACGUG
RNAcentral lists this ribosomal RNA (463 nucleotides) under uncultured bacterium. Its description in RNAcentral is "partial 16S ribosomal RNA". It matches the Rfam family "Bacterial small subunit ribosomal RNA", at positions 28 to 507 of the family's 1533-position model. The record is from RNAcentral.